This 118-nucleotide small RNA is filed under the name unclassified sequences. RNAcentral's name for it is "LOOT RNA". It matches the Rfam family "LOOT RNA". Rfam says of the family: Latescibacteria, OD1/Parcubacteria, OP11, TM7. Lineage (Microgenomates, aka OP11) The record is from Rfam by way of RNAcentral.
GACCUAAACCGUCAGUACUGGUGGCAUGGUCGACGAGUCGCGUAGCGCAUAGACAACCCGUCAUGGGGUCUGCGUUACGCGCCUUGUGGGGAAACCUGCACGAGAGGCUUCGGUCUCU